UCUAAGAGAUGAUCUUAGCUGAAAGUUUACUUUCACGUAGAUCACUUUUUAGCAGCUCUUAAAUGAGCUUUAGUAGUCUUCGGACUACAUUAUAGACCGAACCGUCCUCAUAUCUCUNNAGUAAUAAUAAUUUUGCAGGUCAUCGAUCUGUUAAGGGUCGGUAGCUCAGGUUGGUUAGAGCGCACGCCUGAUAAGCGUGAGGUCGGAGGUUCAAGUCCUCCUCGACCCACCAAAAAAUGGGGCGUUAGCUCAGCUGGGAGAGCACCUGCUUUGCAAGCAGGGGGUCAUCGGUUCGAUCCCGAUACGCUCCACCAUUUCCUUCAGAUUAUUAUAUCAAUUCCGAUUAGAUCAUUAAGAGCUGUACGCAGUUUUUAAUCAUCCAAUCGGAUGGCGAACCUUCGAGGUUCACUUUUACAUCGUUUAGAGAGCAUAUAAAACACGAGACGUAAGUUUCUUGUUUGAACCACUUCUUCGGAAGAGGUUAAUGAUUGAAUAUCUUAGGGCUGAAGAGCUUUGGGGGGCUAGAUUAUUAGCUGGUUCGCAGUAUCAUAGGUAACUAUGAAGCAUAAUCAGACUAGGGUGACCAACCCACUGUGCAUGUGCUGUUGGUGAGCGUUCCAGUGCGGUUCGCAAGCUAAUUCAAAGAUAAUUUACAGUCUUUCCAAGUCAAAUACACUAACCAAAGUCACAGUGAAUUAGAUCUACUGUGACAUGAAGGGAUGCUCGAAAGAGCAUUCAUUCGCUGGAAUGUGCGUGACCUUCCUGCCAAGGGAGGGUUACAUUUGAGUUCAAAAAUAAAUGUUGUUUUUGCAAUAGCAAAACAAAUGACGUGCCUAUCGCAAGAUAGGUGCUGAUGAACAAUUUUCUCAAAAAAAUGACGACUUCUGUUCUAGAAAUAGUCUGACUAUUUCU
This 912-nucleotide transfer RNA is filed under the name uncultured marine bacterium. RNAcentral's name for it is "16S-23S ribosomal RNA intergenic spacer". The stretch from base 155 to 229 matches the Rfam family "tRNA". The record is from RNAcentral.